Molecule: ribosomal RNA, 1516 nt
Filed under: Vibrio cholerae
Lineage: Bacteria; Pseudomonadati; Pseudomonadota; Gammaproteobacteria; Vibrionales; Vibrionaceae
Description: partial 23S ribosomal RNA
Rfam family: Bacterial large subunit ribosomal RNA
Source: RNAcentral
GGUUAAGUGACUAAGCGUACACGGUGGAUGCCUGGGCAGUCAGAGGCGAUGAAGGACGUACUAACUUGCGAUAAGCGCAGAUAAGGCAGUAAGAGCCGUUUGAGUCUGCGAUUUCCGAAUGGGGAAACCCAACUGCAUAAGCAGUUACUGUUAACUGAAUACAUAGGUUAACAGAGCAAACCGGGGGAACUGAAACAUCUAAGUACCCCGAGGAGAAGAAAUCAACCGAGAUUCCGGUAGUAGCGGCGAGCGAACCUGGAUUAGCCCUUAAGCACUCGGUGAAGUAGGUGAACAAGCUGGAAAGCUUGGCGAUACAGGGUGAUAGCCCCGUAACCGACGCUUCAUCGAGCGUGAAAUCGAGUAGGGCGGGACACGUGAUAUCCUGUCUGAAUAUGGGGGGACCAUCCUCCAAGGCUAAAUACUCCUGACUGACCGAUAGUGAACCAGUACCGUGAGGGAAAGGCGAAAAGAACCCCUGUGAGGGGAGUGAAAUAGAACCUGAAACCGUGUACGUACAAGCAGUAGGAGCACCUUCGUGGUGUGACUGCGUACCUUUUGUAUAAUGGGUCAGCGACUUAUAUUCAGUGGCAAGGUUAACCGUAUAGGGGAGCCGUAGCGAAAGCGAGUCUUAACUGGGCGCUCAGUCUCUGGAUAUAGACCCGAAACCGGGUGAUCUAGCCAUGGGCAGGUUGAAGGUUGAGUAACAUCAACUGGAGGACCGAACCGACUAAUGUUGAAAAAUUAGCGGAUGACUUGUGGCUAGGGGUGAAAGGCCAAUCAAACUCGGAGAUAGCUGGUUCUCCCCGAAAGCUAUUUAGGUAGCGCCUCGGACGAAUACUACUGGGGGUAGAGCACUGUUAAGGCUAGGGGGUCAUCCCGACUUACCAACCCUUUGCAAACUCCGAAUACCAGUAAGUACUAUCCGGGAGACACACGGCGGGUGCUAACGUCCGUCGUGGAGAGGGAAACAACCCAGACCGCCAGCUAAGGUCCCAAAGUAUUGCUAAGUGGGAAACGAUGUGGGAAGGCUCAGACAGCUAGGAUGUUGGCUUAGAAGCAGCCAUCAUUUAAAGAAAGCGUAAUAGCUCACUAGUCGAGUCGGCCUGCGCGGAAGAUGUAACGGGGCUAAGCAAUACACCGAAGCUGCGGCAAUAUCUUUUAGAUAUUGGGUAGGGGAGCGUUCUGUAAGCCGUUGAAGGUGAAUCGUAAGGUUUGCUGGAGGUAUCAGAAGUGCGAAUGCUGACAUGAGUAACGACAAAGGGGGUGAAAAACCUCCUCGCCGGAAGACCAAGGGUUCCUGUCCAACGUUAAUCGGGGCAGGGUGAGUCGACCCCUAAGGUGAGGCCGAAAGGCGUAAUCGAUGGGAAACGGGUUAAUAUUCCCGUACUUCUGACUAUUGCGAUGGGGGGACGGAGAAGGCUAGGUGGGCCAGGCGACGGUUGUCCUGGUUCAAGUGUGUAGGCUUGAGAGUUAGGUAAAUCCGGCUCUCUUUAAGGCUGAGACACGACGUCGAGCU